Girardinichthys multiradiatus is the source of this 222-nucleotide long non-coding RNA. RefSeq lists it as uncharacterized. NCBI's taxonomy places the organism in Eukaryota, Metazoa, Chordata, Actinopteri, Cyprinodontiformes, Goodeidae. The record is from RefSeq and is a predicted model, not a curated record. The transcript is spliced from 2 exons.
AUGAGGCCUGCUGAAUGGAGUAAAGGACAAAGUCAUAAGAACGAGGAAGUACUUUUCUCUGCUGCUGCACCCUCCUGUCAACCUCAACCAUCGUGGUAAAGACAUAUUCCUCCCUGACCUGACUAAGGGCUUAUUUGCUUGAGAUUCCAAUACUGUCCGCUGACACAGUCCGGAUUCCAGAAGAAACUUACGUUUGUGAAUAAAUAAACUGCUUAAUCGCUG